GACGAACGCUGGCGGCGUGCUUAACACAUGCAAGUCGAACGGAAAGGCCCGGCUUUUGUGGGGUGCUCGAGGGGCGAACGGGUGAGGAACACGUGAGUAACCUGUCCCUGACUGUGGGAUAACUUCAGGAAACUGGGGCUAUUACGGGAAAGGAGCUCUUGCUGCAUGAGGGGGGUGGGAAAGUUUCGGCGGUUGGGGAGGGAACCGCGGCCUAUCAGCUUGUUGGUGGGGUAGUGGAUUAGCACGGCCUGGCCGCGUGGCCGGCCUGAGCGGGUGACCGGCCCCACUGGGACUGGGAUGCGACCCGGACUCCUCCGGGACGGAGGGGAGGAGUAUAGUGUCCUACGCGCUGAGGGAUGGUGCAGCGCCGCCGCGCGGGGUAAAUCGGCCUUCGGUUUGUAAUCCGCUUUUGUCUGUGACGAAGCGUGAGUGACGGUAAUGGGUAAAGAAGCCCCGGCUAACUACGUG
Molecule: ribosomal RNA, 468 nt
Filed under: uncultured bacterium
Lineage: Bacteria
Description: partial 16S ribosomal RNA
Rfam family: Bacterial small subunit ribosomal RNA
Source: RNAcentral